This 250-nucleotide ribosomal RNA is filed under the name uncultured Chroococcidiopsis sp. RNAcentral's name for it is "partial 16S ribosomal RNA". It matches the Rfam family "Bacterial small subunit ribosomal RNA", at positions 796 to 1044 of the family's 1533-position model. The record is from RNAcentral. Lineage: Bacteria; Bacillati; Cyanobacteriota; Cyanophyceae; Chroococcidiopsidales; Chroococcidiopsidaceae.
CUAGCCGUAAACGAUGGAUACUAGGCGUUGUGAGUAUCGACCCUCACAGUGUCGUAGCUAACGCGUUAAGUAUCCCGCCUGGGGAGUACGCGCGCAAGCGUGAAACUCAAAGGAAUUGACGGGGGCCCGCACAAGCGGUGGAGUAUGCGGUUUAAUUCGAUGCAACGCGAAGAACCUUACCAGGACUUGACAUGUCGCGAAUCUCAGGGAAACUUGAGAGUGCCUUCGGGAGCGCGAACACAGGUGGUGC